UUGUAAUAUCAGGCUGCUCAGUGCAUUCUCACUUGUAAUUAUGUUUUUAGAAGCAAGUUAAAGUUUCCUAUUAUAUCCACAGCAAGAUCUAUUUAAGAGAUAGCAAUUGCACAUCCCAAGACAAUUUAUACCACUGAGGAGUGAGUCAGGUUAGGAAAAAAAUUAGAGAAGAUCUCUAUCUUUCUUCUUCCCUCACAACUUCCAGAGAGGCUAUUUUUCAGGUUGUAGCAAUGCAGAGUGCUUGCUUAUUUUGUUUACACUUACCAAAAUUCCUUUCUUUUGGUCAGCAGCGCAAUGCUGAAAUGUGGUGCCUUGGGGCCUGAUGUCCCACCUGCCUCUCAGAAACACAGUGGACCUAUUCUUACCUGUUUUACAGGUAAAAUUUUCAUUUUUUUCCAUUGGAACCCUGCAUCAGAGCAGAAGCAAAUGAAGCAGAAAGGAGCGUGGCAUCACCUCUCAUCUGGUCUCUCCCAUAUCAUCUCACUACACAAGGUCUACCACUGUAAGCCAGACAGGCAAUCUCAAAGAGGAAGUGUCUCCAAAAUGCAUCAAAUACUUAUGUUUAUCAAAUAGUUAAGAACUAUGGCUAAAGAAGAUUUCCAGCUAAGCUCACUGACAACAGGUAUUCUAGCAAACUGGCCUAGAAACGGAUUUGCUGGGAUGAUGUGGGGCCCUGGUAAACCAGACAACCUCUCUAGCACUAUUUUUUACAUGAUCAUGAAAUGUAUCACUUUAAGUUAGAAAGAAAGACUGAGAUAAAAUAUUGGUUUUUAUUUUUAUUUCUAUUCCUUUAUAUAGCUUUAAAACUAAUGAUUAGCCUAGGUCAAAAUGUUCAGUUAGAUUAAACAUCUUUAAAGUCAACAGGACUACAUUAAUUUAUAGAGGGGGGAAACUGGGGCUUCAUCUGGCUGUUUUACAGUUUCACACCAUGGAUCUAACUGCACUCACUUAUUUUGUGAGAACUGGGGAUGGUAGUAGCACACAUUUUCCAGCCAGUGUGGAAACUGGAAGGUCUCCUUGUCUAUUCAGGGUGUAAAGGAGUCGUAAAUAUUUGAACAGUUUCCAGCAUGAUCUAAAUCACUUUUCCAACUGCUUUGAUUUGUAUCAUAAAAGAGACAGUGAGACUUGUUAUAAUGACAUUGCACUUGAGGGUCGUAAUGCUCUGCUUGUGCACAAAUCCCAAACAGUUACAGAUGUUUUCUUCUUGGCUGCCUGAAUAGUUGAAGAUUGCUGUGUUGUGUCGUGUAUUGGUUUUAUGUGGCAAGGUUUUGGUAGUGGGGGCUGAAGGUAUGGACUCUGUGAGAAGAGCCCGGCAGCUGCCCCAUGUUAGAAAAGGGCCAGUUUCAGCUGGCUCCAAAAGGGGCCAUGGCUGGCCAGAGCCGAGCCAUGAGCGAUGCUAGGUGGGCCUCUGGGAGAGCAGAGUUAAGGAAGGGAAAGAAGUGUUGGGCAACAGCAGCUGGGAGAGAGGGGUGAGAGCCAGCCCUGCACCCCCACGGGCAGUGCAGCAGGAGGGCAGGAGGUGCUCCAGGCAGGCAGCAGCAGUUCCCCUGCGGGCUGUGCAGGGAGAGGCCCC
This 1573-nucleotide long non-coding RNA is filed under the name Anas platyrhynchos platyrhynchos (common mallard). RNAcentral's name for it is "lncRNA (ENSAPLG00000023136.1)". Lineage: Eukaryota; Metazoa; Chordata; Aves; Anseriformes; Anatidae. The record is from RNAcentral.